This 405-nucleotide ribosomal RNA is filed under the name uncultured bacterium. RNAcentral describes it as "bacterial SSU rRNA". It matches the Rfam family "Bacterial small subunit ribosomal RNA", at positions 355 to 774 of the family's 1533-position model. The record is from RNAcentral.
UGGGGAAUAUUGGGCAAUGGGCGCAAGCCUGACCCAGCAACGCCGCGUGAAGGAAGAAGGCUUUCGGGUUGUAAACUUCUUUUAUUAAGGACGAAAUCAAUGACGGUACUUAAUGAAUAAGCUCCGGCUAACUACGUGCCAGCAGCCGCGGUAAUACGUAGGGAGCAAGCGUUAUCCGGAUUUACUGGGUGUAAAGGGCGUGUAGGCGGGAGUGCAAGUCAGAUGUGAAAACUAUGGGCUCAACCCAUAGCCUGCAUUUGAAACUGUACUUCUUGAGUACUGGAGAGGCAGGCGGAAUUCCGUGUGUAGCGGUGAAAUGCGUAGAUAUACGGAGGAACACCAGUGGCGAAGGCGGCCUGCUGGACAGCAACUGACGCUGAGGCGCGAAAGCGUGGGGAGCAAACA